GUUUGAUCCUGGCUCAGGAUGAACGCUGGCUGUGUGCCUAAUACAUGCAUGUCGAACGAAGUACUUGUACUUAGUGGCAAAUGGGUGAGUAACACGUACCUAACUUGCCUUUUAGAUUGGGACAACCACGGGAAACUGUGGCUAAUACCAAAUAUGUAUAAAAAACAUAUGUUUUUUAUAUGAAAGGAAGCGAUUGCUUUGCUAAAAGAUAGGGGUGCGCUACAUUAGCUUGUUGGUAGGGUAAAAGCCUACCAAGGCUAUGAUGUAUAGUGGGAUCGAGAGGUUGAACCACCACACUGGGAUUGAGAUACGGCCCAGACUCCUACGGGAGGCAGCAGUAGGGAAUAUUCCACAAUGAGCGAAAGCUUGAUGGAGCGACACAGCGUGUAGGAUGAAUGCCUUAGGGUUGUAAACUACUGUUAUAAGAGAAGAAUAGCUAAAAAAGGAAAUGUUUUUAGUCUGACGGUAUCUUAUCAGAAAGCAGUUGCAAACUAUGUGCCAGCAGCAGCGGUAAUACAUAGACUGCAAGCGUUAUCCGGAAUUAUUGGGCGUAAAGCAUUCGUAGGUUGUUUAUUAAGUUUGGUGUUAAAAACAAAAGCUCAACUUUUGUUUGCAUUAAAUACUAAUAGACUAGAGUUAUAAAGAGGUUAAUGGAACUCCAUAUGAAGCGGUGGAAUGCGUAGAUAUGUGGAAGAACACCAAUGGCGAAGGCAAUUAACUGGAUAUACACUGACACUGAGGGAUGAAAGCGUGGGGAGCAAACAGGAUUAGAUACCCUGGUAGUCCACGCUGUAAACGAUGUUUGUUAAUCGGUGGUGAAAUCACUGAUACAGCUAACGCAAUAAACAAACCGCCUGAGUAGUAUGCUCGCAAGAGUGAAACUUAAAGGAAUUGACGGGGAGCCGCACAAGCGGUGGAGCAUGUGGUUUAAUUCGACGCUACGCGAAGCACCUUACCAACAUUUGACAUCUUUUGCAAAGGCAUAGAGAUAUGCUGGAGGAUAACAAAAAGACAGGUGGUGCAUGGCCGUCGUCAGCUCGUGCCGUGAGGUGUUGGGUUAAGUCCUAUAACGAGCGCAACCCUUUUCUUUAGUUACUAACAUUUAGUUGAGCACUCUAAAGAUACUGCCUAGGUAACUAGGAGGAAGGAGGGGAUGAGGUAGGUCAUCAUGCCUCUUACAUGUUGGGUUACACACGUGCUACAAUGGCAAAUACAAAGAGAAGCAAAAUCGUGAGGUGGAGCAAAUCUGUAAAAUUUGUCUCAGUUCGGAUUGGAGUCUGCAACUCGACUCCAUGAAGUAGGAAUCGCUAGUAAUCCUAGAUCAUCAAUGCUAGGGUGAAUACGUUCUCGGCUCUUGUACACACCGCCCGUCAAACCAUGGGAGUUGGUAAUACCCAAAGCUAGUUAGUUAACCAUUUAUUUGGAGGCAACUAUCUAAGGUAGGAUCAAUGACUGGGGUUAAGUCGUAACAAGGUAACC
Molecule: ribosomal RNA, 1479 nt
Filed under: uncultured Mycoplasma sp.
Lineage: Bacteria; Bacillati; Mycoplasmatota; Mollicutes; Mycoplasmatales; Mycoplasmataceae
Description: bacterial SSU rRNA
Rfam family: Bacterial small subunit ribosomal RNA
Source: RNAcentral